This 761-nucleotide ribosomal RNA is filed under the name uncultured Mycobacterium sp. RNAcentral describes it as "bacterial SSU rRNA". It matches the Rfam family "Bacterial small subunit ribosomal RNA", at positions 578 to 1336 of the family's 1533-position model. Lineage: Bacteria; Bacillati; Actinomycetota; Actinomycetes; Mycobacteriales; Mycobacteriaceae. The record is from RNAcentral.
GUUUGUCGCGUUGUUCGUGAAAUCUCACGGCUUAACUGUGAGCGUGCGGGCGAUACGGGCAGACUUGAGUACUGCAGGGGAGGCUGGAAUUCCUGGUGUAGCGGUGGAAUGCGCAGAUAUCAGGAGGAACACCGGUGGCGAAGGCGGGUCUCUGGGCAGUAACUGACGCUGAGGAGCGAAAGCGUGGGGAGCGAACAGGAUUAGAUACCCUGGUAGUCCACGCCGUAAACGGUGGGUACUAGGUGUGGGUUUCCUUCCUUGGGAUCCGUGCCGUAGCUAACGCAUUAAGUACCCCGCCUGGGGAGUACGGCCGCAAGGCUAAAACUCAAAGAAAUUGACGGGGGCCCGCACAAGCGGCGGAGCAUGUGGAUUACUUCGAUGCAACGCGAAGAACCUUACCUGGGUUUGACAUGCACAGGACGCCGGCAGAGAUGUCGGUUCCCCUUGUGGCCUGUGUGCAAGUGGUGCAUGGCUGUCGUCAGCUCGUGUCGUGAGAUGUUGGGUUAAGUCCCGCCACGAGCGCAACCCUUGUCUCAUGUUGCCAGCGGGUAAUGCCGGGGACUCGUGAGAGACUGCCGGGGUCAACUCGGAGGAAGGUGGGGAUGACGUCAAGUCAUCAUGCCCCUUAUGUCCAGGGCUUCACACAUGCUACAAUGGCCGGUACAAAGGGCUGCGAUGCCGCGAGGUUAAGCGAAUCCUUUUAAAGCCGGUCUCAGUUCGGAUCGGGGUCUGCAACUCGACCCCGUGAAGUCGGAGUCGCU